CCAGAAUGCGACAGACAUCAUACUGGUUGCACCAAUGGUAAAUUGCACAUCCUGCAAGAUCGAUCGGUCGAACCAACAAUGAAAAUGGUCCGUUCCGUUGUCUAUAACCGCUCAAUUGAAAACCACCUGAAAAUCGCUGAACCGGCCGGGGUUCUUGAAGGGUGACUUUUUUUUAAAAUAAAAAUAAAAAAACCCAAAGGCUUCCUCCUUCGUGAAUGACACACUCAGAAUCAGAAGAAAGCUUAAAAAUCCUCCCAAACCAAAACCCUAGCUUCUUCAACGGCUCUGCCGCCGCCGUCCGUAGUUGUCGGCGCCUCUGCGGCUUCCUCCUUCCCCCUGUCUCGAACCCAUGCCCUCUCUUCUAGCUUGGCACCUCGUCCCCAUCCUCUCUGGCUUCUCUGUUCGAGGCUUGGAGCAGCUCGCCGUCGAAGAACCUUGCGUAACACACACACAGGUGUCAGCCAACCCUAAACCUCCCCACGGAUCUGCUCUGCCUCCUGCCACAUUCUGUUUCUGUUCUGCUUCCCUUCAGCCCUUCUGGCCUUGUUCUGCUUCUGGUAUGCGCUUGCAUCACAGCGUCUACCAGUCGCUGCUCUCCCUCAGUUCUGUUAAGGAUAUGUUAAUUAGCUUGAAGUUGCUGAUCUUUCAACGUGCAAAAACGGUAGGCUAUGCUGACCUGGCUAAGAAAUUCAACCUUAAGAUUAUUCGAGCCAUUGCUGUUGUUUUGAUGGAGCAUCUUAAGGAAGAGUUAAAAGAUUUAUUGCUUGUUGCAGAUACGGAUAAAUCUGCGUCUUUUUUGGAUGCUUGUAAACUAUUGAAAUGUUAUAAGGAGGGUACUACAACUAUUGAAGAGCUAAUUACAGACAUCGGUACUGAUAUACAAGCAUAUGUGAGGAGACCAUCAACGUACAAAAGAAAGGAGGAGAAAGAUGAAAGAAAAUAGUAAAAGAUUGAGGUGUUCUUGAUGACCUGAAACUUACAAGCUUACUUAUGGCAAAAGUUGAGUUCGACUUUUCUCAUUGGCGGAUGCACACUUUCUUUUUGUUCAUCGAGAUGGACAACAGAGUAGGGACCAUUAUGAGGACAGGUUGCUCAGAUUGUGACAUAGGCCAGGCUAGAUACCUUAUGGAUGGAUGAGUUUAAUUUAGGUUUACUUAUACAAUUAUUUAGUCCUAGUUCAUUGUAACAUUUCUUACGAGUUUUGAUUAUGUUUCUCGAAAUUUAAGCUUUGUCGGACAUCAUAUGACGGUCCCCAGCUCCAGGCAAUGUGUCACGACUGGUUGAGGAGUUGUCGGGAAGUUCAAACAUGGAGGGUAGUGGUGUAGUUAGUAUAAACGUAAUGCCGAACUAACAAUGUAUAGAAAGAGUAAUACAAAGAAUCGAGCACUAAAUGAAUGAAAAGGAUUAUUAUUAUUGCAUAUCAUCAGAAUACAAGUGCUAGUUUAUUUA
RNA transcript from Arachis duranensis, 1449 nucleotides. RefSeq lists it as uncharacterized. The record is from RefSeq and is a predicted model, not a curated record. The transcript is spliced from 7 exons. Lineage: Eukaryota; Viridiplantae; Streptophyta; Magnoliopsida; Fabales; Fabaceae.